Molecule: ribosomal RNA, 468 nt
Filed under: uncultured Glomus
Lineage: Eukaryota; Fungi; Glomeromycota; Glomeromycetes; Glomerales; Glomeraceae
Description: SSU rRNA
Rfam family: Eukaryotic small subunit ribosomal RNA
Source: RNAcentral
AGCAGCCGCGGUAAUUCCAGCUCCAAUAGCGUAUAUUAAAGUUGUUGCAGUUAAAAAGCUCGUAGUUGAAUUUCGAGAUCAAAUUGUUGGUCGUGCCUCGGUACGUACUGGCAUUAUUGAUUUCUCCCUUCUGAAGAACCUUGAUGUCAUUAAUUUGGUGUCUUGGGGAAUCAGGACCGUUACUUUGAAAAAAUUAGAGUGUUUAAAGCAGGCUCACGCUUGAAUACAUUAGCAUGGAAUAAUGAAAUAGGACGUUUGAUUCUAUUUUGUUGGUUUCUAGGAUCGACGUAAUGAUUAAUAGGGAUAAUUGGGGGCAUUAGUAUUCAAUUGUCAGAGGUGAAAUUCUUGGAUUUAUUGAAGACUAACUACUGCGAAAGCAUUUGCCAAGGAUGUUUUCAUUAAUUCAAGAACGAAAGUUAGGGGAUCGAAGACGAUCAGAUACCGUCGUAGUCUUAACCAUAAACUAUG